This 929-nucleotide ribosomal RNA is filed under the name Buchnera aphidicola (Prociphilus erigeronensis). Its description in RNAcentral is "bacterial SSU rRNA". It matches the Rfam family "Bacterial small subunit ribosomal RNA", at positions 363 to 1286 of the family's 1533-position model. Lineage: Bacteria; Pseudomonadati; Pseudomonadota; Gammaproteobacteria; Enterobacterales; Erwiniaceae. The record is from RNAcentral.
AUUGCACAAUGGGCGAAGCCUGAUGCAGCUAUACCGCGUGUAUGAAGAAGGCCUUAGGGUUGUAAAGUACUUUCGUUGGGGAGGAAAAAUAAAUAGAUAAUACCUGUUUAUCGUGACGUUACCCAAAAAAGAAGCACCGGCUAACUCCGUGCCAGCAGCCGCGGUAAUACGGAGGGUGCGAGCGUUAAUCAGAAUUACUGGGCGUAAAGAGCUCGUAGGCGGUUGUUUAAGUCAGAUGUGAAAUCCCUGGGCUUAACCUAGGAACUGCAUUUGAAACUAAAAGACUAGAGUAUCGUAGAGGGAGGUAGAAUUCUAGGUGUAGCGGUGAAAUGCGUAGAUAUCUGGAGGAAUACCUGUGGCGAAAGCGGCCUCCUAAACGAAUACUGACGCUGAGGUGCGAAAGCAUGGGGAGCAAACAGGAUUAGAUACCCUGGUAGUCCAUGCCGUAAACGAUGUCGACUUGGAGGUUGUUUCCUUGAGAAGUGACUUCCGAAGCUAACGCGUUAAGUCGACCGCCUGGGGAGUACGGUCGCAAGGCUAAAACUCAAAUGAAUUGACGGGGGCCCGCACAAGCGGUGGAGCAUGUGGUUUAAUUCGAUGCAACGCGAAAAACCUUACCUGGUCUUGACAUCCACAGAAUUUUUCAGAGAUGAAAAAGUGCCUUAGGGAACUGUGAGACAGGUGCUGCAUGGCUGUCGUCAGCUCGUGUUGUGAAAUGUUGGGUUAAGUCCCGCAACGAGCGCAACCCUUAUCCUCUGUUGCCAUUGGUUCGGCCAGGAACUCAGAGGAGACUGCCGGUUAUAAACCGGAGGAAGGCGGGGACGACGUCAAGUCAUCAUGGCCCUUACGACCAGGGCUACACACGUGCUACAAUGGUGUAUACAAAGAGAAGCAACUCUGCAAAGACAAGCAAACCUCAUAAAGUACAU